This 90-nucleotide transfer RNA is filed under the name Ovis aries (sheep). It matches the Rfam family "tRNA". Rfam says of the family: Transfer RNA (tRNA) molecules are approximately 80 nucleotides in length. Their secondary structure includes four short double-helical elements and three loops (D, anti-codon, and T loops). The record is from Rfam by way of RNAcentral. Lineage: Eukaryota; Metazoa; Chordata; Mammalia; Artiodactyla; Bovidae.
CCUUCGAUAGCUCAGCUGGUAGAGCGGAGGACUGUAGUGCUUUCAAGUAUGGACAUCCUUAGGUCGCUGGUUUGACUCCGGCUCGAAGGA